GGAUCUGAUGGAUCCUCUGGUGGGACACUCUAUGUAACCUGCCCUACGCCUGGAACCAACACAGCCUCUGAGUCCUUUCGGCUUCCAUUUGUACCCCAAGGAAUCAGUACACCUUGUGGUCCUGCUGCUCAUGUACACUGGGCACAGCCUAGACACAGAAGCUACUCUGGAUCUGGAACCGACACAAU
This is a long non-coding RNA of Ficedula albicollis (Collared flycatcher), 188 nucleotides long. RefSeq lists it as uncharacterized. The transcript is spliced from 3 exons. Lineage: Eukaryota; Metazoa; Chordata; Aves; Passeriformes; Muscicapidae. The record is from RefSeq and is a predicted model, not a curated record.